This 124-nucleotide small RNA is filed under the name Pseudaestuariivita atlantica. RNAcentral describes it as "Aestuariivita atlantica Alphaproteobacterial ar14". It matches the Rfam family "Alphaproteobacterial ar14". Rfam says of the family: Smr14C2 was renamed NfeR1 (Nodule Formation Efficiency RNA) highly expressed in salt stress and during the symbiotic interaction on legume roots. The record is from Rfam by way of RNAcentral. Lineage: Bacteria; Pseudomonadati; Pseudomonadota; Alphaproteobacteria; Rhodobacterales; Paracoccaceae.
CCGGAUCGGCCCGCUCCUCUCCUCCUCCCUGGAGCGUGCCGGUACCUCCCGAUGCCUUCCUCCCAUUCGGCAUCGGGACAGACAGAGCGGCGGCGUCCACCUCCUCCCGGACGUCGCCGUUUUU